This 21-nucleotide microRNA is filed under the name Aegilops tauschii. RNAcentral describes it as "ata-miR172a-5p". Its record names the gene ata-miR172a-5p. Lineage: Eukaryota; Viridiplantae; Streptophyta; Magnoliopsida; Poales; Poaceae. The record is from miRBase by way of RNAcentral.
GCGGCACCAUCAAGAUUCACA